UACGUAGGGGGCGAGCGUUAUCCGGAUUCACUGGGUGUAAAGGGAGCGUAGACGGCCGAUCAAGUCUGGAGUGAAAGCCCGGGGCCCAACCCCGGGACUGCUCUGGAAACUGGUGGGCUAGAGUGCUGGAGAGGUAAGUGGAAUUCCUAGUGUAGCGGUGAAAUGCGUAGAUAUUAGGAGGAACACCAGUGGCGAAGGCGGCUUACUGGACAGUGACUGACGUUGAGGCUCGAAAGCGUGGGGAGCAAACA
This 251-nucleotide ribosomal RNA is filed under the name uncultured bacterium. RNAcentral describes it as "partial 16S ribosomal RNA". It matches the Rfam family "Bacterial small subunit ribosomal RNA", at positions 524 to 774 of the family's 1533-position model. The record is from RNAcentral.